GACGAACGCUGGCGGCGUGCUUAACACAUGCAAGUCGAACGCUGAAGCUCAGCUUGCUGGGUGGAUGAGUGGCGAACGGGUGAGUAACACGUGAGUAACCUGCCCUCUUCUUUGGGAUAACGCCCGGAAACGGGUGCUAAUACUGGAUAUUCACUGAUUCUCGCGUGGGGGUUGGUGGAAAGGUUUUUUCUGGUGGGGGAUGGGCUCGCGGCCUAUCAGCUUGUUGGUGGGGUGAUGGCCUACCAAGGCUUUGACGGGUAGCCGGCCUGAGAGGGUGACCGGUCACAUUGGGACUGAGAUACGGCCCAGACUCCUACGGGAGGCAGCAGUGGGGAAUAUUGCACAAUGGGCGAAAGCCUGAUGCAGCGACGCCGCGUGAGGGAUGGAGGCCUUCGGGUUGUAAACCUCUUUCGCUCAUGGUCAAGCCGCAGCUUUGGGUUGUGGUGAGGGUAGUGGGUAAAGAAGCGCCGGCUAACUACGUG
Molecule: ribosomal RNA, 482 nt
Filed under: uncultured bacterium
Lineage: Bacteria
Description: partial 16S ribosomal RNA
Rfam family: Bacterial small subunit ribosomal RNA
Source: RNAcentral